RNAcentral lists this ribosomal RNA (156 nucleotides) under Arthrobotrys musiformis. RNAcentral describes it as "5.8S ribosomal RNA". It matches the Rfam family "5.8S ribosomal RNA". From Rfam's summary of the family: 5.8S ribosomal RNA (5.8S rRNA) is a component of the large subunit of the eukaryotic ribosome. The record is from RNAcentral. RNAcentral also lists the same sequence under 21 other names. Lineage: Eukaryota; Fungi; Ascomycota; Orbiliomycetes; Orbiliales; Orbiliaceae.
AACUUUCAACAACGGAUCUCUUGGUUCCCGCAUCGAUGAAGAACGCAGCGAAACGCGAUAGUUAAUGUGAAUUGCAGAAUUCAGUGAAUCAUCGAGUCUUUGAACGCACAUUGCGCCCAUUGGUAUUCCUUUGGGCAUGUCUGUUUGAGCGUCAUU